GAAUACGCUCUCGCAUCGCUUUUUUUGUAGAAAGCUCGACCAGCGAUAAAAAGUGUUUGGCCCGAGCCAAAAAGAGGUUGAUCCACUUCAUUCGCCAAGCGAAUGAUCUUCGCUUCGCGGGAACAACAAAAACCACCAUCUCGCUCUUUCCUUUCUUCGGUGCUACCUUUUUUUUUUCAAGGGAUGGGGUUGGGGAAGAAGAAGAAGAAGAAGAAGAAGAAGAAGAAGAAGAAGAAGAAGAAGAAGAAGAAGAAGAAGAAGAAGAAGAAGAAGAAGAAGAAGAAGAAGAAGAAGAAGAAGAAGAAAAAACUAGGUUUGCAUUUGCAGCAGGUGCCCUUGGCCGCGGCCCAUCUCCUCCCUGAGCUUGUUGACCCUCCCGAUGACCGCCUCGACCGUCACGUCGACGGCGUCCCUGAGCGUCUCCAGCUUGGACCUCGGGUCCGCGUACACCAGCCUGGGUAUGAGCCCGAUGACGGUCUCCGUCAUCCGCUCCGCCACGUCCUGCGGGAUCGCGCGGAGCGUCUCCUCGAUGCUGACGUUGCCGGCGCGCACGUGCGCCUCCGGGAUGAGCACCGAGUACGUGUCGUGCGCGUCGGGGAG
RNAcentral lists this unclassified non-coding RNA (600 nucleotides) under Zea mays. RNAcentral's name for it is "misc RNA Zm00001eb003640". Lineage: Eukaryota; Viridiplantae; Streptophyta; Magnoliopsida; Poales; Poaceae. The record is from RNAcentral.